GGACUACCCGGGUAUCUAAUCCUGUUUGAUCCCCACGCUUUCGCGCCUCAGCGUCAGUUGUCGUCCAGAUAGCCGCCUUCGCCACCGGUGUUCCUCCUAAUAUCUACGUAUUUCACCACUACAUUAGGAAUUCCGCUAUCCCCUCCAACACUCCAGCCUGCUAGUUUCAAAGGCAGUUCUUGGGUUGAGCCCAAGGAUUUCACCCCUGACUUGGCAGGCCGCCUACGCGCGCUUUACGCCCAGUGAUUCCGAACAACGCUAGCACCCUUCGUAUUACCGCGGCGGCUGGCAC
RNAcentral lists this ribosomal RNA (292 nucleotides) under uncultured bacterium. RNAcentral's name for it is "partial 16S ribosomal RNA". The record is from RNAcentral.